RNAcentral lists this long non-coding RNA (570 nucleotides) under Salmo salar (Atlantic salmon). RNAcentral describes it as "lncRNA (ENSSSAG00000103502.1, ENSSSAG00000110333.1)". The record is from RNAcentral. Lineage: Eukaryota; Metazoa; Chordata; Actinopteri; Salmoniformes; Salmonidae.
GUAAGAACAGAAACGUUUAAACGAAGAUUGUAGAAAGAAACCAUGCACACAUUCCACACAGAUUCUCCACGGAGAACCCUGCUUUCCACGGCGGUGACGGAACCACAUGUACCCUCACCUUUCUUGAAGCAGGAAGAAAAAGCCAUGUGCGGGAUCCCUCACAGUGAAGCAUGAGGAUCAGAGUACAGCUGGACUGUAGAAGUCUCUUUCUCCUACCCAGUCAACAGAAAACACGUUCACACACAUCUAUGGAAAAGUUUUCCCAUACUUCUGUAAUCUGGAUGAAGACCUAAACCACCCUCUGAAGCUGCUACCAGAGUAUGUCUCUGUAGGGUCUGACAUUGCCAAGCUUCCUGAUGGCAAGGCAGACGAAUGCAAGUCUCUUUGAAACCGAAGAAUCUAUUGGAGAAGUGAACGGCGACUGAAUGUGCUUCAAGCUCAUUUUAAUAAUUUGAUAGACCUCUCCUUGUUGAUUCCCAAAUCUUUUUCCUCAGACAUUCAGUUUCCUAUCAGUCCUUGGCUUGAUUAAAUCGUUCUGAUAUUUUUUUUAUCAGAUGGUGUUGAAAGAGA